UACGUAGGCGGCAAGCGUUGUCCGGAAUUAUUGGGCGUAAAGAGCUCAUAGGCGGUCUGUUGCGUCCGCUGUGAAAACCCAGGGCUUAACCCUGGGCUGGCAGUGGAUACGGACAGACUAGAGGUAGGUAGGGGAGAAUGGAAUUCCCGGUGUAGCGGUGAAAUGCGCAGAUAUCGGGAGGAACACCGGUGGCGAAGGCGGUUCUCUGGGACGGUACUGACGCUGAGACGCGAAAGCGUGGGGAGCGAACAGG
This 253-nucleotide ribosomal RNA is filed under the name uncultured bacterium. Its description in RNAcentral is "partial 16S ribosomal RNA". It matches the Rfam family "Bacterial small subunit ribosomal RNA", at positions 524 to 776 of the family's 1533-position model. The record is from RNAcentral.